This 497-nucleotide ribosomal RNA is filed under the name uncultured bacterium. Its description in RNAcentral is "partial 16S ribosomal RNA". It matches the Rfam family "Bacterial small subunit ribosomal RNA", at positions 28 to 507 of the family's 1533-position model. The record is from RNAcentral.
GACGAACGCUGGCGGCGUGCCUAAUACAUGCAAGUUGAGCGCUGAAGGUUGGUACUUGUACCAACUGGAUGAGCAGCGAACGGGUGAGUAACGCGUGGGGAAUCUGCCUUUGAGCGGGGGACAACAUUUGGAAACGAAUGCUAAUACCGCAUAAAAACUUUAAACACAAGUUUUAAGUUUGAAAGAUGCAAUUGCAUCACUCAAAGAUGAUCCCGCGUUGUAUUAGCUAGUUGGUGAGGUAAAGGCUCACCAAGGCGAUGAUACAUAGCCGACCUGAGAGGGUGGUCGGCCACAAUGGGACUGGGACACGGCCCAAACUCCUACGGGAGGCAGCAGUAGGGAAUCUUCGGCAAUGGACGAAAGUCUGACCGAGCAACGCCGCGGGAGUGAAGAAGGUUUUCGGAUCGUAAAACUCUGUUGGUAGAGAAGAACGUUGGUGGGAGUGGAAAGCUCAUCAAGUGACGGUAACUACCCAGAAAGGGACGGCUAACUACGUG